GACGAACGCUGGCGGCGUGCUUAACACAUGCAAGUCGAACGAGAAGAGAUGAGAAGCUUGCUUCUUAUCGAUUCGAGUGGCAAACGGGUGAGUAACGCGUAAGCAACCUGCCCUCUAGAUGGGGACAACAGCUGGAAACGGCUGCUAAUACCGAAUACGUUCUUUCUGUCGCAUGGCAGAAGGAAGAAAGGGAGGCUCUUCAGAGCUUUCGCUGGAGGAGGGGCUUGCGUCUGAUUAGCUAGUUGGAGGGGUAACGGCCCACCAAGGCGACGAUCAGUAGCCGGUCUGAGAGGAUGAACGGCCACAUUGGGACUGAGACACGGCCCAGACUCCUACGGGAGGCAGCAGUGGGAAUCUUCCGCAAUGGACGAAAGUCUGACGGAGCAACGCCGCGUGAACGAUGACGGCC
RNAcentral lists this ribosomal RNA (409 nucleotides) under uncultured bacterium. Its description in RNAcentral is "bacterial SSU rRNA". It matches the Rfam family "Bacterial small subunit ribosomal RNA", at positions 28 to 416 of the family's 1533-position model. The record is from RNAcentral.